CCUACGGGUGGCAGCAGUGGGGAAUAUUGCACAAUGGGGGAAACCCUGAUGCAGCGACGCCGCGUGAGUGAAGAAGGAUUUCGGUAUGUAAAGCUCUAUCAGCAGGGAAGAAAAUGACGGUACCUGAUUAAGAAGCCCCGGCUAACUACGUGCCAGCAGCCGCGUUAAUACGGAGGCUGCGAGCGUUAUCCGGAUUUAUUGGGUUUAAAGGGUGCGUAGGCGGUUUGUUAGGUCAGCGGUAAAAUUGCGGGGCUCAACCCCGUCGAGCCGUUGAAACUGGCAGACUUGAGUUGGGGAGAAGUACGCGGAAUGCGUGGUGUAGCGGUGAAAUGCAUAGAUAUCGCGCAGAACUCCGAUGGCGAAGGCAGCGUACCGGCGCCAGACUGACGCUGAGGCACGAAAGCGUGGGGAUCGAACAGGAUUAGAUACCCCAGUAGUC
Molecule: ribosomal RNA, 439 nt
Filed under: uncultured bacterium
Lineage: Bacteria
Description: partial 16S ribosomal RNA
Rfam family: Bacterial small subunit ribosomal RNA
Source: RNAcentral